Molecule: ribosomal RNA, 460 nt
Filed under: uncultured bacterium
Lineage: Bacteria
Description: partial 16S ribosomal RNA
Rfam family: Bacterial small subunit ribosomal RNA
Source: RNAcentral
CCUACGGGUGGCAGCAGUGAGGAAUAUUGGUCAAUGGUCGGGAGACUGAACCAGCCAAGCCGCGUGAGGGAUGAAGGUACAGAGUAUCGUAAACCUCUUUUGUCAGGGAACAAAGGCGUGGACGCGUCCCCGGAUGAGUGUACCUGAAGAAAAAGCAUCGGCUAAUUCCGUGCCAGCAGCCGCGGUAAUACGGAGGAUGCGAGCGUUAUCCGGAUUUACUGGGGUUAAAGGGUGCGCAGGCGGGCUUGUAAGUGAGCGGGCAAAGGCCGGGGCGCAACCCCGGCCGCGCGUUGGAAACUGGCAGUGUCGAGUUGGAGAGAAGUAUGCGGAAUGCGAGGUGUAGCGGUGAAAUGCGUAGAUAUCGCGCAGAACUCCGAUGGCGAAGGCAGCAUGCCGGCUCCACACUGACGCUGAGGCACGAAAGCGUGGGUAUCGAACAGGAUUAGAUACCCCAGUAGUC